UGGGAAUUUUGGACAAUGGGCGAAAGCCUGAUCCAGCAAUGCCGCGUGUGUGAAGAAGGCCUUCGGGUUGUAAAGCACUUUUGUCCGGAAAGAAAUCCUUGGCUCUAAUACAGUCGGGGGAUGACGGUACCGGAAGAAUAAGCACCGGCUAACUACGUGCCAGCAGCCGCGGUAAUACGUAGGGUGCAAGCGUUAAUCGGAAUUACUGGGCGUAAAGCGUGCGCAGGCGGUUUGCUAAGACCGAUGUGAAAUCCCCGGGCUCAACCUGGGAACUGCAUUGGUGACUGGCAGGCUAGAGUAUGGCAGAGGGGGGUAGAAUUCCACGUGUAGCAGUGAAAUGCGUAGAGAUGUGGAGGAAUACCGAUGGCGAAGGCAGCCCCCUGGGCCAAUACUGACGCUCAUGCACGAAAGCGUGGGGAGCAAACAGGAUUAGAUACCCUGGUAGUCCACGCCCUAAACGAUGUCAACUAGUUGUUGGGGAUUCAUUUCCUUAGUAACGUAGCUAACGCGUGAAGUUGACCGCCUGGGGAGUACGGUCGCAAGAUUAAAACUUAAAUGAAUUGACGGGGUCAUAGCUGUUUCCU
RNAcentral lists this ribosomal RNA (584 nucleotides) under uncultured bacterium. RNAcentral's name for it is "partial 16S ribosomal RNA". It matches the Rfam family "Bacterial small subunit ribosomal RNA", at positions 356 to 1375 of the family's 1533-position model. The record is from RNAcentral.